RNAcentral lists this transfer RNA (141 nucleotides) under Aspergillus violaceofuscus CBS 115571. RNAcentral's name for it is "tRNA-OTHER". Lineage: Eukaryota; Fungi; Ascomycota; Eurotiomycetes; Eurotiales; Aspergillaceae. The record is from RNAcentral.
GCCCGGAUGGUCUAGUGGUAUGAUUCUCGCUGUAAGUUCACACUUUACAACAUACCACAAGCAAAAAGACAUCUCUAACUUUCCUAGUCGGGUAAUAGCUCAAAAUGCGAGAGGUCCCGCGUUCGAAUCGCGGUUCGGGCC